This 253-nucleotide ribosomal RNA is filed under the name uncultured bacterium. Its description in RNAcentral is "partial 16S ribosomal RNA". It matches the Rfam family "Bacterial small subunit ribosomal RNA", at positions 524 to 776 of the family's 1533-position model. The record is from RNAcentral.
UACGUAGGGGGCAAGCGUUGUCCGGAUUUAUUGGGCGUAAAGAGUGUGUAGGCGGUGCUCUAAGUUUGGUGUGAAAUCUCCCGGCUCAACUGGGAGGGUGCGCCGAAAACUGGAAUGCUUGAACAUGGGAGAGGAAAGCGGAAUUCCUGGUGUAGCGGUGAAAUGCGUAGAUAUCAGGAGGAACACCUGCGGUGUAGACGGCUUUCUGGACCAUUGUUGACGCUGAGACACGAAAGCGUGGGUAGCAAACAGG